AGAAAUGGCAGCGGCAGCCGCAGCAGCGACCCAGAGAUCUGGGUUCUCAGGGACUUGAGCAGAAGAAAGUGGGCGCGCCCCACUCACCUGCUUUUGCCUCUCCCAUCCUGGCCUCUUCCUCCCCUCCCAGAGCCCAGGACCCUGGAAUGGCAGCCUGCCCUCCCACUGCGCAUGCGCCUCAACCGUUGCCGGGGCCUCACUGAGACCCACGCAGUUGCUAAGCGACGGAUCCACCGCGUUCUGAAAGCAGAGUUGCGCCCUCUGGCGGUGGCCUGGUGCCUGUGCAGGUCAUCUUUGAGGGUUUGCCAGGAAGUAUCAUGGAAGCGGUCUGCUCUGUGACCCUGAGAUAGGACUGCCUGUGAGCUUCUGGGCAGCUUUGCUAAAUCAGGGUCUUCAGCACUUGGAGCCACAGCCGGAGCCCGUGGCGCUGCCUGUGCGGGUGGAGGGUUGGGGCUUGCCUGCAUCUGCUUGGGCCUCCCUGCACGUCCCAUUCCUCCUGCUGACCUUGUAGCUGUGUCACUGAGUGUGAUUCUUUUUUCCCUCCCUGUUGUCUUUCCUGGGUGUCCUGAAGAUGUCUCUCGCUCGGCCAAGGCUUCGGACUGGCAUUUGGAAGAAGCCUCUCUCCAUCCUGAGAGACGCUUUUCCAAACAUAAGAUCGCGGGAAGCCCUUAUCAGGAACUCAUUUGACAUUUUCAGGGAAGGUGCUCAAAGAGGUCCAAGAAGGUGCUUAUGGCUCUAUGCUCCCCCGGCCCGCUUCCCCAGUGUUAAAAUCUGACCUCACCAUAGCGCUAUGAUCGAGAAGAAAAAAGUCCCUCCGGAACAAUGGGAUCUGACUCAACUGCAGACUGGAUGGCAAAUUCAUCCCUGAUUCGCUUGCAGUUUAGCUGUUUUCGCCUUCCAGCACUUCGUCUUCUGGCUUCCACUCUUUAUACCGGGAAGGAGCUCCCUGGGGAGUCGGGGUAAUUGUAGGGGUCUUCGGAGCCAGGGGAUCUCCUCGGAAGGUGCUCUCUCUUUCUCUAUUUUUUCUUUUCACUCUGUCUUCAAGUUUCCCAUACCUCAGCAGAACUGACUGGGCAGCAGAGGAAGCGGGAACGGUCCGUCCAUCUCCUGGCCUCACGAGACUUGGCUCCCCG
RNAcentral lists this long non-coding RNA (1133 nucleotides) under Equus asinus (donkey). RNAcentral describes it as "lncRNA (ENSEASG00005031741.1)". The record is from RNAcentral. Lineage: Eukaryota; Metazoa; Chordata; Mammalia; Perissodactyla; Equidae.